GUGAAGGAUAGCAUCGUACUGAGAGUAGCUGCCAUUUUAUGUCGAUUGUGAAUGAACAUGGGCGUAACAUUUUUGGAGGCUCCGCUGAGAUAGCUGCUCAGAUGUCCAGUUUCCACACCCUGGUCGCUGAAUUCCGAGCCAGCUAAAUCUCCACAUAACAACUCAGGCAGGCAGCAGUGAGGAAAGUGUUGCUGUUCGAGGGAAGUUGGAAGUUAGUGGUUAAGUACGUGUCAACUGAGGCCAUUGAUCGACCAUCAGAGACACUUGUCAGACAAGAUCUCAGAAUGAAAGUGUGUCAUGUCACACAAGUACCCUUGUGACUUCUCCAUUGUUGCCAGAGUCUCCCUCAACUAUGAAAAGGACAUGUCAUCAUGAGGCCUAUCAUAGUGACCCAAAUUACUGCCCUGAUGACACAGAUGGCAUCAUCAACAAUAAUAGGACCUGAGCCCUAGGACCAUGCCCCAGGACUACCUGACAUGAUGACUCCUUGCUGUCCCCAGUCCACCUCCAGUUUCAACUGUUCUGCCUGUGAUUAUUAUUAUUUGACCAUGCUGGUCAUUUAUGAACAUUUGAAUAUCUUGGCCAUGUUCUGUUGUAAUCUCCACCCGGCACAGCCAGAAGAGGACUGGCCACCCCACAUAGCCUGGUUCCUCUCUAGGUUUCUUCCUAGGUUUUGGCCUUUCUAGGGAGUUUUUCCUAGCCACCGUGCUUCUACACCUGCAUUGCUUGCUGUUUGGGGUUUUAGGCUGGGUUUCUGUACAGCACUUUGAGAUAUCAGCUGAUGUACGAAGGGCUAUAUUAAUAAAUUUGAUUCGACAACAACACAGAGUUACACAUGGAGUAAAACAAACAUACAGUCAAUAAUACAGUAGAAAAAUAAGUCUAUAUACAAUGUGAGAAAAUUAGGUGAGAUAAGGGAGGUAAAGGCAACAAAAAAAGAACAAAAGAAAGAAGGCCGUAUAUACAUACAUAUAACUAUUAGAGUCAUUUUGGUUUUGAAGUGCAUUAUAGCAAAAAGCUUUGUCCAUUCUUUAGAACAAAAUGCAAUUCACCACUGUCUAUUAUAUUAUCCUGUCUCAGGCCCUCCCAGUCAACACUACCUCAUAAGAUUGCUUGCUGCAGUUGUUCAAGAGAUGUCAUGUUUACAGCCGAACAUGUAUCAUAGAGAAGACCAGCAAGGGGGCCCCUAUGGUGGAAAUGACAAGAUUGUUAUAAUGCUGUUAUUGCAUCAAAUGGUUGUUUUAUGCAACAGAAUAAGACGUUGUUAGAAUGCUCAUCUGUGUUUGUUCUACUGAGGAUGGGCCUCUGGAAAAUGUAAGAUGUCUUUGGGUGACACGGCAUUCCAGAGCAUGAGUUAAUGUUUCUGUACUGGGGUACCAGGGGGAGAUGGCUCCAGUAUGGAGUUGGGGGGCCAGACACGGGUCUCUACACAAUGAGAACUGUUUAACAGCAGAUACUAUCUGAUGUGAAUUCUAAGUAUCUUUCAUACAAAUCUUAACCUUGUGACUCAUUCCAUAGAUCUGUUCUGUGUGUCAUGUAGACUGAAGGAGGAUGGACUUUGCUAUAAAAUGCUGUGGCUCAAACCAGCUCCAUUACCAACCAGCUCCGUUACUGCAGUAAUGAAAUAAUAAAGUUUGAUUGUUUUGAAGAAAUCUAAAA
Molecule: long non-coding RNA, 1659 nt
Organism: Oncorhynchus tshawytscha (Chinook salmon)
Lineage: Eukaryota; Metazoa; Chordata; Actinopteri; Salmoniformes; Salmonidae
Source: Ensembl